ACCAAUUCCGGACACAAUCUCAGCACUGUGGGAGACUGAGGCACCUGCCAAACCUGCACAGAUUCCUACAGCAGCCAGUUCGCUCUGUCUCGAGGCUUCAGAGGAACACGAACUUCUCUGAUGGAAGAGCCUUGUUCUAGAAGGGAGUGAAGCCUAGGUCUUUCCUGAGCACACAGAAGAUCAAGACCACACUCACUGACUUCUCAUAGUCAAGCAAUUUUGGCCAAUUAAAUGUCAGUUGGAAACUCCUGUGUCAGCUUCUCUGUGGCGGUGAGAAGUCCCUGUGUGACAUCCCAACUCUCCCCUCACCUGCGUUGGCAACCAAGAAAGCCUUGUGUUGGAGGUGGGGCCACAAGUUUAAAGCUAAGUUACCACCUCGAGGGCACAUUCCUGGAGAGCUUCCCAGGCCCACAGUGGCACGUGUAUGAGUGACAGAUCCACUUCUUUAUUACCUUUUUGAAGAACAGGAACCUUUGUCUGGAAAUUCCACAAGUAUGCCUUUUGCAAGAUUAAAAGUGCCACAAAGAACAAAAAUGAGCCCAGGACCAGAUGCAUGUUAAAAGCCAUCAGACACGUUAAGUUUCAUCUCCAUUGACCUGCAGAAGGAGUCUCUCACCACAGCCACCACAUCUAUGCAUGUGCUGAGUCACAUGUGAAGCCAGCACAUCUCAGAGUCUCACCGAAAGCUCAUGGUGAGACAAAGAGACUAGAAGGGGUAGAGUCAGCUAACUUCUCUCCUCCCACCACUGAUGAGGUUUUGGUGAAUUCUCUUCCCUUGCUCACUUGCAGAUUCAGCAGAGUUGUCUAUAGUGGCUUAAUUGGAAUUGCUGGACAAGAACAUUGAUUCUGCUUCACUCAGGUAAAGAUGAAAGUAACUGCAACAAUGGAUAUUGCAUUUGAAGGUCAUUGAGUUGUAGUCAGGCAAGGGGAGCAGAUAUUAAAACAUACACGCACAAAAUAAUGGGAUUUUUAUUUAGCAUCUCGCAAGUCUUGAGUAACAUAGUAUUAAUUGACCUUGAGAUUUCAUUCUUUUGUGACUCAUUGCAUUUGCUUUUGUGUUUCAGAUUAAUAUAGAAUAUUUUAAAGAAAGAGUAAUACAGCCAAUUUUAAUCUCUGGGAAGUUUAUGCAAGACAUAAUUUAUUUGUAAACUUUAUAAUAAUAUGUGAAUUAAAGACCCUUGUUAGUUUGGUAUGAAUCUGACAUAAGGGCUAAAAUCACUUUUUCAUUAGCCUUCUCCUGAUCUCAGGUUUACACCUAAGAGAUUCUUCACUCCAAAGUCUUCAUUUCCAAGCACAACCUGCUGGGUGCUGCGCUUUUCUGAGGUCUCCUCCCCAGCUCUGCAUCUAGCAGUGCUCAUGAUGCAAUGAUUUCCUGUCUGACUAUCCCAUUCCUAUCCUUUGCAAAGUUCACAUAGACCCAUUUGAGUACACUUUUAGUAGCAUACCAAGUUUAAGUGCCAAAGUUGUGUUUUAGUUCUUUCAUCCAGAAAGAAAACAUCAGCUGUUUCAAAUUUUAGAGUCCAGCUUGGGCAACAAGAGAAUUGUCAUGUCGUCGAUUGUGUAGUAAGACACAGUGAGUGUCCAGCAAUGUAAAAUCAGUCUAUAAAUGAGAAGAUUAAGACCAAAAGCAUCGGGUUACAAACAUCUCACUAAAGCCCAUUAGCAGGCAGAGAGCUCUCCGCGGAGCUAGAAAAUGAGACUUUUCCCUCCUUUCUGCCCCAUACAUUAGUGCUGAUCUCAGGAGCUCAUUUUUGCACCCUUUGUGGCAGACAACCAUAUAAUCAAAGGGUUCCCAUCACUAAAUCAUUUGAAAAGACAAGUAGAAAUUAGCUUUAGCUAAUUUAACUAGCCUUUGCCCCUCCUCCUGACCCUGAGGGUGAAGCACAUUUUAUCAUUCAUCCUCUGGGGGCUGGCUUAUGCUGGCUCCCUUUCCUUUGGCAGUGAUUUUAAGCAACCAAGUUCUUAUUACAAUUCUCAAAUUUAAAAUUAAGUUCUGAUCACAUCUUCUCAGGGCAUACCUAAGAGGCAGUGUUUAUCCCCAGCCAAAUCAAUUGUUUCCUCAAGUGACUCAUUCCUGAAAAUGUUAUUGUUUCUAAUAACCAGCUCAAAUAUGUAUUUUCAUUAAUCUUUUCUUUUACCUCCAUUUCACACGUGUUGCUGCAUGUCAGGCAGUUUCCACAAGGAUCUGCCAUGACAUCAUUGUGUGAGGUAUGAAAAAAAAAUUUUUUUUUUUCUAAUUUAAGAAUUACUUUUACUCAGAUGGUGGCUGGGCUGGGAAAUGUUCCCCAUUGCCCUGGGAGUUUUAGGCCAAGGCUUGUGUGUGUGUGUGUGUGUGUGUGUGUGUUGGAAGGGUCUCUCAUUGCCUAUUUCUGCUUAUAUAACACACACUGGUUUAGGUAGGUGGAGUCAGAAUGGGAAGAGGAAGUUCCCUAAGUGUUUCUUGCAUGCAAAGGUAAGUGGAGAAUGCCCAUCUGGGCACACAGGGCAAGGAUGCAGUGGAGUGACCUCUCCUUUCCCCUCCAACUCACAUGCUGGAGUUUAAAAACUGUAUCAGGAUGACAGAAACCAAGGGGUAAGACCACGGCUUCCUCUGGGGAUCUUCUAUAAACUGUAAGAACAAACACAGGUAUUUUGUAGUUCUUUAUCACAACGGGUCCUUUGCUGAUGAUUCUAGGUUUUAUGACUGCUGUUUUAUGUCCUACAAAUAGUAACAGGCAUUUCCCUUUGCCCUACACCACAGUAAGCCACUGGCCUAGACAAGAAGCAACUCUGCACUGCUUUUCAAACAUCAUCCUCCCUCUCGACCGCAGGGACUAUUUGGUUUCUAUUCUACUUCUGGCCUUUCAUAUUCCUGAUGGUGCAUUGGAUGAAACCCCGCAGCCAGGCGUGUGAACGUGGUUGAAAAGACCCAUGGAGGACCAGCAACGCUUCCCCACAGCGUGGGAUGGUCCCCUCCUGAGAUGGCCCACUGUCAGCGGGACUGACGCCAAGCACUGCAUCCUGUCUGCUUCUUGAACAGCCCCUUCAUUGUUUGUUCAGCUAUUCUGCUGCAUCUGCAGAUAGCCCUGCCUGAGAAACAGCCUCAAACCAGAAGGAGAGGAUGGCGGCAAGCCUUAGAGAAACAUAUGACCGUAAAGAAAAUUUGGGAAUGUGUAUUUCAGGGAAAAUGAAAAUGAUCCCAAUAAAGAUCGGAGAUGCAGGAAGGAAGGAAAACAUAGAAAUUGAGCCAGUUGGAGUGUGAGGCUUCAGAAUCGCCUUCCAACUCUCUGUGCACUGCACCAGCUGCUUCCCAUAGACUCCUGGUAAAAUAUAGAGCGGAAGGAAGAAGAGCCACUACCCAUAACAUCAGUGGCUGCUAACUAAGGAGUGUUUUGACAUGCUGGUACAGCCUAUCCUCAGCUUUCCAGAAGGUGGAAUCUUGUGAUAGUGGAAAGAAGUAGAAGAGAUGAAGUACCUAUGACUCCAGGAUUUGCCAGUGAAAGAAGUCAACAAUAUUUUAACUUUGAUCUUAACCAAAAGGCCAAGAAGUGAUGCUAAUAUUUUCAUAUACUACGACAGUUGCAGACACACGUCUAUCAUAGCUGGGUAGUAAUCCAGGCAACUCUGCCACAAGUCAUGGGCUCAGCCACCAGUCCACGAAGUCUCCAGUCACACAUAUUGCUUCGGACUAUUCUCUAUCCCCAGUUGUCAAUUAACUAAAAUAUUAAAUGAGGAUGCCAUGGAGUCCCCCAACUGAUUUCAUAAAUUUGGUGUCACAUUGUAAAUCAAGCAGCUGCAGAGUGGCUGGGACAUCUGUUUGGUUCUGUUAUUCUCUUUACUCCAAAAGGAAACUAACUCCAAAAGAAGAAAACCUGAUGUCUGAGCUGAAUCCUAAUCAUGAAGAUGUUUUUCCACCAUUCCUGUCUGUGUUUUUCUACCAUUCCUGUCUGUGUUUUUCUACCAAAGUGUGCUCUUGAAGUUCUGCAUUUCCCAGGGUGUGGUGAAAGAAGAGAAAAAAAUGUCCAAGAUGACUUCAACGUUCUGACCUUGAGUGGCUUGAGUGAAUGGAGUUACAACUGUGCAGAAAGAUUCAGUAGAGAGUUUUGGAUUUAUGCACCAGUAAGGGGAAAACUGAACAGCUGCAGAGAGCUGUAACUUUUAUAGGAGAUUAAUCUAUAAGAGAAGACAGCAAACUACAGCCUGUGUGUCAAAUCCUACUUGCCACGUCCACUGAAAGCUAACUACACUGGAACACUCUCAUUUCUGCAAAGAAAAAUAUCAUAUCCCAGGAUGAAAAGGAGGAGGAAGAGGAAAGGCUAACUUAACAAGAAGCUCUUUGACAUUCUUGAAUUAGACACCCAACGUAGUCCACGCAGUACGGAGGAUGACUUCAGAAGUGCAAUUCUGAUAUGGACUUUGUCUCCCUAAGGCUUUCAGUUCCUCAUAUUUAGGAUAAAACAGAAGUUUAUGUAAAGCCAAGGGAGAGGGUCACCGGGAGAGGGAAGGAGGAACAGCAGAAGGAGAGGUCCACACAUGAAAAUACUUGGAAGCGCCCCAGGGCCUAUCAGAUGCAGGUCUUGGCGGAAAUUACCAAACAUACUUUAGACAGGCUGCUGUGUUGCUGAGUGUGGACUGGCCUCAGGGCCUGCUGAUCAAAGCAAAAGGAAGCAGUGAAAAAAACAUCACCAUGUCUUCUUAGAGUCUAAUCUGGGGGCAAGAGGCCAGCAUGCACAGUUGGUGCUGAUUUUCUUGGGCGGAUAGAGGAAAGGUGUAGGCGUGGCCAACAUUUGAGCAGCAUGUGGUUCCUCUCACACGCCAUGCUGUUUCCGGCCUCCUUGCAUUUUACUCAUGCCAUCCUCCUGGUCACUUCUUUGAGAUAUUAAGUGCAUUCUUUAGGACUCAGACUCAGCUCAAGGGUCAGUGCAUCCAUGAAGCCUUACCUGGAUCCCAGAGGGAGCUCUGUGCUCCUCCUUUGUCUCCUAUAGGACCCAGUACAUGCGUCCAGUAUUAUCCAUACACACUGAAAUGAUCUAGCAUGUGUCUUCCCAUAGGAUUUCAAAUUCUUAGAAUAUAGGAGUGAUGCCUUCUUCCUACUUAUAUUUCCAGUGUUAACAGUGCCUGUCAAUUGACUUGAAGAUAACUAAAAGUCUGGUUGUUAAGGGCUGCUUCCCACCUCCAAAUACUUCCCUGGAAGUCAUUGUAUGGGCACUGACAUUGGUAGGUCUCCACUGGCUUGUAGAUGCUUCUGAUUAUAAGGUAGUCUCAGAUGCCUUCAGAAAGUUCUAAGACUGUAUAAAACAUUUCCUUCACAACCAAUAACUGUGUAUUAUUGUUCGUGUAAUUCCAGAAGUUAUCCUUUUGAUAGAGAGCAAUUACUUUAUUGAUUGAGAGUUAGCUAAUUAUGUAAUAAAGGUAAAGAUUUGCAUAGAGAA
Molecule: long non-coding RNA, 5411 nt
Filed under: Homo sapiens (human)
Lineage: Eukaryota; Metazoa; Chordata; Mammalia; Primates; Hominidae
Description: HSALNT0353187
Source: RNAcentral